This 387-nucleotide ribosomal RNA is filed under the name uncultured Streptococcus sp. RNAcentral's name for it is "bacterial SSU rRNA". It matches the Rfam family "Bacterial small subunit ribosomal RNA", at positions 993 to 1382 of the family's 1533-position model. Lineage: Bacteria; Bacillati; Bacillota; Bacilli; Lactobacillales; Streptococcaceae. The record is from RNAcentral.
UGCUAUUCUAGAGAUAGAAAGUUAUUUCGGCACAUCGGUGACAGGUGGUGCAUGGUUGUCGUCAGCUCGUGUCGUGAGAUGUUGGGUUAAGUCCCGCAACGAGCGCAACCCCUAUUGUUAGUUGCCAUCAUUCAGUUGGGCACUCUAGCGAGACUGCCGGUAAUAAACCGGAGGAAGGUGGGGAUGACGUCAAAUCAUCAUGCCCCUUAUGACCUGGGCUACACACGUGCUACAAUGGUUGGUACAACGAGUUGCGAGUCGGUGACGGCGAGCUAAUCUCUUAAAGCCAAUCUCAGUUCGGAUUGUAGGCUGCAACUCGCCUACAUGAGGUCGGAAUCGCUAGUAAUCGCGGAUCAGCACGCCGCGGUGAAUACGUUCCCGGGCCUU